UAUUUAGAGUUAGUAAAUACACAAAAGAGAUUGGUUAUUUCCUUCCUUCCUUUUGUGUUACAUUCAGAAACACAAAUAUGAGUUGAUUUACAAAAAGUGAAUGUAAACAUCCUCUGAAAAUAUUUUUUAUAAAGUGCUACUUGUUAAUUGAAAUGAAUAGUGUAGUUUUUGUGAAUUGCUGUAUAAUUGUUAGUGACUGCCAUGUAUUUUAUGUUGCAAUAAUAUUGACUAUAAAAUUGCUUUGCUAAAUUAAUGUGAAAUGACUAAAAUCCCUUCUGUCUUCAGUAAAUUUCUGAAAGGAAGAAAUGAUGAUUUCAUAAUUUGUCAUUAAGUCUUGGUGUUUAUGAAAAAAGAAAGCAAGAACCAAAAGGACCUGACAUGUUUAUAUUGUCAAAACAUUGCAUAUAUUAUCAAUGUUUGGAUAUAUAUAUUUAUCAGUAUACAUAUAUAUCAAGAGUUCUGGACAGUAAGCUUAGGUGUGUAGGAAUAUGUUGACAUCAUGUCCAGUGUUAACAGUGGACACAAGUCUUUGGGUUGUUCUGUAGUUAAAUGGCCAACCAAAAGUAUUAAAAGCACGUGUGCUUUUAAAAUUAGCCACAAAUGUUCUGAAUAUUAAUUUUUUCUAAAUAUCCAGCUUCUCAAAAUGCAGGGUUUACUAAUUUAAUGUAUUUUAUAGUGCUGCAAGUCAAACCCAGUGACUGAUGUGCAAGCAUUUGUCCACAGCUACAUCAUGAGCACUGGGUUCAUAUUUCUUUAUAGGUGUGUUACGAAUGGAGUAAAGUCAUCUCCUGUCAGAGAGAAUUAAAGGAAACCAUGGGCAGACACACUGCUGACAGCCAGGGUACUCUGCCUUGUUAGUGGUUCAAACCUGUGACCUGGUAUAGCCUUCUGCUAACCCAGAAAACAAAUUCAACUUUGUUUUUGAGAAGUUUUUCUGAGUUUAAGUCUGGAGAGUUCAUAAAUCAAAACUGUCAUUCUCCACUUUAAAAAAAUACCAUGUUUAACAUGGACAAGUUUUGUUAUUGUUCAUUUUAAAAGUUAUUUGUGAUGUAUAUUACAAGACUUUAUGUAGGUUAGAUCCUAAGAAAAGAAUUUAGAGAUCCUUAUCUAACCUUGCUAUUAAGUUAAAUCCUAACUUUGUCUUUAAUUAGAAUAUUGUACCUGCAUUGCUGUUCUUUUAGACAUUAUAUCACUGCCAAAUAGACUAAUUUUUCUUUUAAACCAUGUUAGUGAAAACCAUUUAAAAAUUCCCAUUCAUGUGGCUAUGUAAAAUAGAAUACACAGGAGACCUUUGUCAAGGUAUCUUUGUCUAAUUUCAUUGCAGUGUUUGGCAUUUACUCUAAUUUGUGGAAUAAAAGUAUUUAGCUAAGUGCA
RNAcentral lists this long non-coding RNA (1374 nucleotides) under Rattus norvegicus (Norway rat). RNAcentral's name for it is "long non-coding RNA NONRATT015327". The record is from RNAcentral. Lineage: Eukaryota; Metazoa; Chordata; Mammalia; Rodentia; Muridae.